CCUACGGGGCGCAGCAGUGAGGAAUAUUGGUCAAUGGCCGAGAGGCUGAACCAGCCAAGUCGCGUGAGGGAAGACGGCCCUACGGGUUGUAAACCUCUUUUGUCGGGGAGCAAAGCGAGUCACGUGUGACUCAUUGAGAGUACCCGAAGAAAAAGCAUCGGCUAACUCCGUGCCAGCAGCCGCGGUAAUACGGAGGAUGCGAGCGUUAUCCGGAUUUAUUGGGUUUAAAGGGUGCGCAGGCGGAGGUGCAAGUCAGCGGUCAAAUUGCGGGGCUCAACCUUGUACUGCCGUUGAAACUGCAUCCC
This 305-nucleotide ribosomal RNA is filed under the name uncultured bacterium. RNAcentral's name for it is "bacterial SSU rRNA". It matches the Rfam family "Bacterial small subunit ribosomal RNA", at positions 338 to 641 of the family's 1533-position model. The record is from RNAcentral.